Molecule: ribosomal RNA, 253 nt
Filed under: uncultured bacterium
Lineage: Bacteria
Description: partial 16S ribosomal RNA
Rfam family: Bacterial small subunit ribosomal RNA
Source: RNAcentral
UACGGAGGGCGCUAGCGUUGUUCGGAAUCAUUGGGCGUAAAGGGCGUGUAGGCGGCCGAUCAAGUCGGAGGUGAAAUCCCUCGGCUCAACUGAGGAAUUGCCUUCGAUACUGUUCGGCUUGAGUCCUGGAGAGGGUAGCGGAAUUCCCGGUGUAGCGGUGAAAUGCGUAGAGACCGGGAAGAACACCAGUGGCGAAGGCGGCUACCUGGACAGGUACUGACGCUGAAGCGCGAAAGCUAGGGGAGCAAACAGG